This 192-nucleotide non-coding RNA is filed under the name Mycoplasmatota bacterium. Its description in RNAcentral is "Tenericutes bacterium T-box sequence". It matches the Rfam family "T-box leader". From Rfam's summary of the family: Uncharged tRNA acts as the effector for transcription antitermination of genes in the T-box leader family. T-boxes are found upstream of many aminoacyl-tRNA synthetase genes and some amino acid biosynthetic genes usually in Gram-positive bacteria. The record is from RNAcentral. Lineage: Bacteria; Bacillati; Mycoplasmatota.
UCAAAAACGUUGAAGUGGAAUAGUAAUAUAAUUUAGUUAUUUUAGAGAGAGAAUGUUAGGUGUGAAUUCUUAUAACUGGUUAUAUGAAUGGACCAUGGAGUAAUGCUAAUCACAUUCGUUUCCCGCGUUAAGGGAUUAAGUGCUAGAUUUAAAUCUAGAAUUAAGGUGGUACCGCGUUAAAUCGUCCUUUUA